CAGUCGCCGCGGUAAUACGUAGGGUGCGAGCGUUAAUCGGAAUUACUGGGCGUAAAGCGUGCGCAGGCGGUGAUGUAAGACAGUUGUGAAAUCCCCGGGCUCAACCUGGGAACUGCAUCUGUGACUGCAUCGCUGGAGUGCGGCAGAGGGGGAUGGAAUUCCGCGUGUAGCAGUGAAAUGCGUAGAUAUGCGGAGGAACACCGAUGGCGAAGGCAAUCCCCUGGGCCUGCACUGACGCUCAUGCACGAAAGCGUGGGGAGCAAACAGGAUUAGAUACCCGUGUAGUCCCUGUCUCUUAUAC
This 301-nucleotide ribosomal RNA is filed under the name uncultured bacterium. RNAcentral's name for it is "partial 16S ribosomal RNA". It matches the Rfam family "Bacterial small subunit ribosomal RNA", at positions 509 to 807 of the family's 1533-position model. The record is from RNAcentral.